AAGAAAUUCUAAAACCCAUUUCAUUUCAUCUAACUGUUUUUCCUGUUCUUUGAAAGGGGGAAAAAGAAAGCCCAUACACAGCAGCUUAUCAAUGAGCUGCACCGAUCUUUAAUUAACAGUACAAACAAAACUCUCCAACGUCUAAUUUCAUGAACUCAAAUUUCCAACUCAAAAAUUCUAUUGACGGAUUAAAAAAAAAAAAAAUCCAAAUGUCCAAUGCUCGCAGCCGCAGGUGUUUCGCCAUUUGAACACACACAAAUCAACAAACGAGUCUAGUUUUAACUUACCAUUACCCCGCAACUAAGAUCCUGCCACAUACGCAACGGGUACCACUUGUCAUGGGACCCAUCCCACAUGUAAUCAUCAGAGCCGAAAUCAAUUCUCCUAGUAUCCAUGGAUGAUCUCAGAGCACUUGUUCUUGAUCCAACGCAACCCGUUCUUGAAGGAAGCCUUGAACUUACCUUCCACUGCGUAAACCUUGUACUUGGCAAUCCUCUUCUUUCGCUUCAUCUCUGGAUCACUAAAACCCCAGGGCGUUGAUGUGGUCCGACUCUGCCUGGUCGUGCGAGGCGGAACCGGUGGCCGAUCGGGCGAGUGAGGACGAGUCGAGUAGAUCUGGUUACCACCGGCGGCAAAACUCUUCCCGCUUACAAUCUCAAACCUCCGAUCACCACCAUAAUACCUAUGACCAUAUCCGUCCAUCUGAAGAAUCAAGAGUGGAUGGAGAUAGUGAGAGAAGAAAAACGUGUAAAGAAAUUUUUGGGUUUAUAAUGCGACUUCGGGUGACGUUUUGGAACGGCUGAAAGGCAUUGAGGGAAAGCAAAAUAAAGCAGGCAGAGAGUGCGUGAGAGUGGGACUUUUGCAUGAGCUUUUGGGGUUUAGGUUAUGCUUUAUAUAUAUU
This 901-nucleotide unclassified non-coding RNA is filed under the name Hevea brasiliensis (rubber tree). The record is from RNAcentral. Lineage: Eukaryota; Viridiplantae; Streptophyta; Magnoliopsida; Malpighiales; Euphorbiaceae.